UAUCCAUUGAGAUUCUCAUUCAUUUUAUAUGUUUGUGUCUUUUAAAUUUCAGGCAAUUUCUCGACUCAAAAAAGUUUUGGACGACACAGACAUAGCAAAUUUGGAUUCGGAAAAUUAUAAUGAUCUUGUUGAUUCUAAAUUGCUAAAAAAUUAUGAUAAAAUGCAAAUGAAUCAAAUGAUUUAUUGUGUUGCAGCCUGUGUAUAUAAGCCUAUGACAUCACGGCCAAAAAUGAGCCAGGUAGUUGAAGUACUGAAAGGAACAAUAAAACCCAAGGAUUAUAUAUGGCUAAAAAAUGAUAGCAAGUAUCUAUACGAAGGAUCACCGUACGCUUCAUUACCUGAGGAAGCCAUAGACGACUCUUAACAGUGAAUUCUACGCAAUGCACCAAGUUGUCAAUUAACCUCCACUAAGUAAAUGCUUGUUUUUACUUCAGUUUAUUUUUGUGUGCUGCUAUUUGCAUUCUUAUUUAAUAUCAUUUUGUUGUACUAUUUAGUUUGUGGUAUUAUAAUAUUGGUGUACGAUAAUCGAGUUUCUAUUCCUUGGAAUUUUGCUUUAUUUUAUAAAGUUUGCUAAUGUUUCUCCA
Molecule: long non-coding RNA, 584 nt
Organism: Hevea brasiliensis (rubber tree)
Lineage: Eukaryota; Viridiplantae; Streptophyta; Magnoliopsida; Malpighiales; Euphorbiaceae
Exons: 2
Source: RefSeq, a predicted model, not a curated record